RNAcentral lists this long non-coding RNA (510 nucleotides) under Takifugu rubripes (torafugu). RNAcentral's name for it is "lncRNA (ENSTRUG00000031976.1)". Lineage: Eukaryota; Metazoa; Chordata; Actinopteri; Tetraodontiformes; Tetraodontidae. The record is from RNAcentral.
AUGAGCUUUUCCUGCUGCGUUCUCUGUGUGUGGAUUUUAACAAAGCUGACUCCUAAAAACUAUUUGGAUGUUAUUUAUUUUUCAUAUUUUCUAGGCGAUUGGAUAAAACUUGAUCCAUAUACGAGCACGGACGUUCAACUGUUGAAGGCCAGGGAGAGGAAAAAGGCCAUAGACAUUCUUCAACUCAAGAAUUCUGUGUCAGAACAUUUUUUCAUCAUUUUUCCCAGUUAUUUUCUCUCUUUACUGUCACAUGUAGGAAUUCAACUUGUUAGAUAAAAUUUAAUAAAACAAAAAUAAUCUGUGCUGCUUGUCAUGAUGUUUUUAAUAAAGAAAAUACCUGUAAUUCAGAAAAAGCUUUUUUCUUAUUAUGAAAAGAUACCCUCUGAUACUUCUCUGGAAAUGUUUUAAAUUCUUAAAGUAAAAUAGUUUGUGGUUUGAGGUUGUUCCUUUGUUUUGUCCCUGCAGCAUUUCCUGCUUGACCGCAUCAUCACUGAAGAAGAAAACGCAAAG